ACAUUAAUAUGCAAAUUAGAUUUAGUUUAUAGAUACAUAUAAUGUAAUGAGAAAACCCGUUCGGUUCUGGGCUGCAGUGGACUAUGUCGAUCGGGUGUCCGCACUAAGUUCGGUAUCGAUAUGGUGCUCCUGGUGGAGCUUGGGACCACCAGGUCAUCUAAGGAGGGGUGAACCGGCCCAGGUCGGAGACGGAGCAGGUCAAAGCCCCUGUGUCGAUCAGUAGUGGGAUCGCGCCUGUGAAUAGACUCUGCAGUGCAGCCUGAGCGAGACUCAGACUUUUGCGUGU
This 286-nucleotide signal recognition particle RNA is filed under the name Sinocyclocheilus grahami. RNAcentral's name for it is "Metazoan signal recognition particle RNA (ENSSGRG00000050760.1)". It matches the Rfam family "Metazoan signal recognition particle RNA". From Rfam's summary of the family: The signal recognition particle (SRP) is a universally conserved ribonucleoprotein. It is involved in the co-translational targeting of proteins to membranes. The eukaryotic SRP consists of a 300-nucleotide 7S RNA and six proteins: SRPs 72, 68, 54, 19, 14, and 9. Lineage: Eukaryota; Metazoa; Chordata; Actinopteri; Cypriniformes; Cyprinidae. The record is from RNAcentral.